This 497-nucleotide ribosomal RNA is filed under the name uncultured bacterium. RNAcentral's name for it is "partial 16S ribosomal RNA". It matches the Rfam family "Bacterial small subunit ribosomal RNA", at positions 28 to 507 of the family's 1533-position model. The record is from RNAcentral.
GAUGAACGCUGGCGGCGUGCCUAAUACAUGCAAGUCGAGCGAACAGACGAGGAGCUUGCUCCUCUGACGUUAGCGGCUGACGGGUGAGUAACACGUGGAUAACCUACCUAUAAGACUGGGAUAACUUCGGGAAACCGGAGCUAAUACCGGAUAAUAUAUUGAACCGCAUGGUUCAAUAGUGAAAGACGGUUUUGCUGUCACUUAUAGAUGGAUCCGCGCCGCAUUAGCUAGUUGGUAAGGUAACGGCUUACCAAGGCGACGAUGCGUAGCCGACCUGAGAGGGUGAUCGGCCACACUGGAACUGAGACACGGUCCAGACUCCUACGGGAGGCAGCAGUAGGGAAUCUUCCGCAAUGGGCGAAAGCCUGACGGAGCAACGCCGCGUGAGUGAUGAAGGUCUUCGGAUCGUAAAACUCUGUUAUUAGGGAAGAACAAAUGUGUAAGUAACUAUGCACGUCUUGACGGUACCUAAUCAGAAAGCCACGGCUAACUACGUG